This 65-nucleotide transfer RNA is filed under the name Euphylidorea dispar. RNAcentral's name for it is "tRNA-Ile". Lineage: Eukaryota; Metazoa; Arthropoda; Insecta; Diptera; Limoniidae. The record is from RNAcentral.
AAUGAGUUGCCUGAUAAAAGGAUUACUUUGAUAGAGUAAAUUAUAUAAUAAUAUUAUACUCAUUA